ACGGCAAAUUUGACAGCAACGAGAAAGAACACAUUUCUGCCACACAAGAACGAAUUUGGGCGAGUCUCAAGGGCAAGUGUUGAAUGAAAGAAGAGAACAACACAUAAGGUUUUACUCCUUUGAAUUCUAGAAACAAGCCAUCUGGCGAUUAGUGAUAACCCAGCCUUGGGCAAUCUCAGUGUCGGUUCUAUUGAGAAAAAAGGCUCUACUCUGCUAAUGACCACACGCAAAGGAAGGGGCCCAGGCAGAACUCCAUGCCAGCAUCUGAAACAGCACCCCACACUCUCCUGCCACAAAAUAUAAGUAGCCCACAAAUACUCACGAAAAGUAUGACACAGAUGAAGAGCUGGGCUUUGAGAUCAGAGGGCUCCAAGCUUGUCCCCAUCAGAUUCCCCUAAACCCAUAAACGUCUCCUUUGUCAAGUCAUAUAACCUUCCUAACCUUCAGUUUAUGUGUCUCUGAAAUCUAGACAGGGAUAGAACAUUCCUAUGGAGUAGCGUUAACGCAGAUGACAGCGAGCCUAAACCUAGCUUAGCAGGUAUUCGGCAUGGGAGCUUCCAAUGUUAAUCAGCAAGGAAGACAGACAAGAUCGUCUGAGGAAGAAGAGACGUUCAGUGCCUCCGAGGUGAUAGAGGGUAAAUCCGGAUCUGUCUUUCCAGUCCCCGAGGGCACAACUCCCUAAAAGCCAAGGAAACAUACAGAAGUGAAUUCAUUGACACGUGGACUUGGGGCCCUGAUGACUCGUCAAAGGAAGAAAUGAUUUUCUGCAGAAGGCAUCCAGCCAGAUGGUUAUAAAUGAGAGUGAGCACACAGGCCUUUCUUAAUGACUAAAUUUCUUUAACUAAAAAUCUAAUUUUAUUGUGGUAUAAAUCACACUUUCUUGAAGUAGGGAAUUAAUUUUAGAUUUUUCAUUCACUGUUCAUAACCUUUCCAUGAAUCUGACAGCCAAAUCAUUCUAAAUGUCAUUUAACCAAUACAAUACAACAGCUUUAUUCCUCGUUGUACCCUUCCUGAAUCCAUUAUCUCCCACUAUAAUGUAGAAGAACUUAAGUAAAAAAGAAAUUACCAUUUCAAAAAGCUGCAGUUUUACUGUGCAGUUGAACAGCAUAAUCUUUAUUUUUAAAUCAAUAUAAUGUGAGUGCUGAGUAAUAUUUUUCCGAAUCCAGAAGUGCCUCACUACCAAAAAAAAAAAAAAAAGGAGUUUGAGGGCUGUCUAAAGUGUUUGAACAAAGCAGCUCCAAUGCCAGGCCUGGAGCCCUCCCUUCCUUCCACCCCGCCAUGUCCAUCUUAGGGACAGAGCCUGAGGCUCAGGAGAUGGCAGGUGUGCCUUCCCCUGACCUCAGCCCUGUGACUCCUCAGCCAUGGUCCCAGCCAUGCCUGGGUUUAGGAAAGUGGGAUAUGACAAACACCUUCAACUGAGAAGUGACGGUCCAGGAGGCCAGGGUAUACAGAUUAUUAGAGGAUAUCCCGCUGUAGAUGGCCAGGACCACAGGGGUCACGGUGUCACUAUUCUGAGGCAGAGUCCCCCAUGGCAGCUCCUCAAUCCGGCCAUAGAGGGGCUGAGGAAGCUGCUGCCGUCAGGAUUCCUCAGAGCCUAGCUUCCAGAACAUGCUACAAAAGGAAGCCCACACACUCGGUUUCUGAACUGCCGCGUGCGGGGACCGACACCCCUUCGAUGCUGAGAUGCCAACAGCAAGUUUCUCCGAACAGAGAAGCUCACAGAACCAAGGCCGCCUUAGCUGGCAUCCUUGCACCUCCUCCACAGACUCAUUUGAAUUUUAAAAACUCCGCUCUACCCACUUUCAUUUUCACUAGCAAGACACCAUUCUGCAAUUAAAAUCUCCCCCUGGACUGACAGCAGACAGCUAAAUAAAGCAGUGUCUCGUGUG
Molecule: long non-coding RNA, 1889 nt
Organism: Meriones unguiculatus (Mongolian gerbil)
Lineage: Eukaryota; Metazoa; Chordata; Mammalia; Rodentia; Muridae
Exons: 2
Source: RefSeq, a predicted model, not a curated record